CCUACAUCAAUGAGAAGAAAUUAAUUGUACAGACCUCAUACAACAUUUAUAUGGUAGCUCCCCUGGCCUCCACUCUGCUGCCCCUACAAUUUAGGCAGUGCCAUCAAAACUGUGUUAUAGAAACCGUGCCAUACAAAACAGUGCCAUCCAAACCGUGUCAUACAAAACAGUGUCAUACAAAACAGUGCCAUCCAAACUGUGUCAUACAAAACAGUGUCAUCCAAACCGUGUCAUACAAAACAGUGUCAUACAAAACAGUGCCAUCCAAACCGUGCCAUCCAAACUGUGCCAUCCAAACCGUGUCAUACAAAACAGUGUCAUACAAAACAGUGCCAUCCAAACCGUUGUCAUACAAAACAGUGCCAUCCAAACCGUGUCAUACAAAACAGUGUCAUACAAACCGUGCCAUCCAAACCGUGUCAUACAAAACAGUGUCAUACAAAACACUGCCAUCCAAACCGUGCCAUCCAAACCGUGUCAUACAAAAUAGUGACAUACAAAACAGUGUCAUACAAACCGUGUCAUACAAAACAGUGCCAUUCAAACCGUGUCAUACAAAACAGUGCCAUUCAAACCGUGUCAUACAAAAUAGUGUCAUACAAAACAGUGUCAUACAAACCGUGCCAUCAAACCGUGUCAUACAAAACAGUGCCAUUCAAACCGUGUCAUACAAAACAGUGCCAUUCAAACCGUGUCAUACAAAACAGUGCCAUUCAAACCGUGUCAUACAAAACAGUGCCAUUCAAACCGUGUCAUACAAAACAGUGCCAUUCAAACCGUGUCAUACAAAACAGUGCCAUUCAAACCGUGUCAUACAAAACAGUGCCAUACAAAACAGUGCCAUCCAAACCGUGUCAUACAAAACAGUGCCAUACAAAACAGUGCCAUCCAAACCGUGUCAUACAAAACAGUGUCAUACAAAACAGUGCCAUACAAAACAGUGUCAUACAAAACAGUGUCAUACAAAACAGUGCCAUACAAAACAAUGACAUACAAAACAUUUACGUGCAACGCAUGCUUCCCUUUGUGCUGGGGUGUAACCUGACUCUCAGGUCAUGAUGAGGAGAUGAAGGAAACACCCAGUUGUUUGGUUCCUCUGUAUGUAGAGUCAGAGGAAGAUGAUGAUGAUGAGGUGAUAUCUCUCGCUUUAACAGGGUCUAUAGGGGAGUGUCUCAGGGGUUUCAACAACAGGAGAUUGGUGGCAACUUAAUUGGGGAG
Molecule: long non-coding RNA, 1218 nt
Organism: Oncorhynchus tshawytscha (Chinook salmon)
Lineage: Eukaryota; Metazoa; Chordata; Actinopteri; Salmoniformes; Salmonidae
Source: Ensembl